Molecule: ribosomal RNA, 459 nt
Filed under: Alpioniscus absoloni absoloni
Lineage: Eukaryota; Metazoa; Arthropoda; Malacostraca; Isopoda; Trichoniscidae
Description: partial 16S ribosomal RNA
Rfam family: Bacterial large subunit ribosomal RNA
Source: RNAcentral
GGCCGCAGUAACCUGACUGCUGCUAAGGUAGCAAAAUCAUUAGUCUUUUACUUGAAGGCCACUAUAAAAGAUUUGACAUAGAGUCCUCUGUCUCAAGACUAAAUAGUGGAACUUUAUAUUAGGGUAAAAAAGCCCUAUACUAUUAAAAAGACGAUAAGACCCUAAAAUCUGCUUUAAUAGAUUAACCUUUAUUAGAUUAAAUAUAUUUAAUAUUAAGUAUACUGGGGCGGUAAAUAUUAUCAUAAACUAUAAUAACUUUAACACAUUGAGUGAUUUAUUGUACCCUAAAUGAAUAUAAUAAGAUACUUUAGGGAUAACAGCAUAAUAUAUUUUUAUAGUUCAUAUUGACAAAUAUGAUUAUGACCUCGAUGUUGAAUUGAAUUAACUAUAUUUAGAAGAAUAAAUAUAAGUAAGUCUGUUCGACUUUUAAUAUUUCACAUGAUUUGAGUUCAAACCCGG